GAUGAACGCUGGCGGCGUGCCUAAUACAUGCAAGUCGAGCGAACAGACGAGGAGCUUGCUCCUCUGACGUUAGCGGCGGACGGGUGAGUAACACGUGGAUAACCUACCUAUAAGACUGGGAUAACUUCGGGAAACCGGAGCUAAUACCGGAUAAUAUAUUGAACCGCAUGGUUCAAUAGUGAAAGACGGUUUUGCUGUCACUUCUAGAUGGAUCUGCGCCGCAUUAGCUAGUUGGUAAGGUAACAGCUUACCAAGGCAACGAUGCGUAGCCGACGUGAGAGGGUGAUCGGCCACACUGGAACGGGAACACGGUCCAGACUCCUGCGGGAGGCAGCAGUAGGGAAUCUUCCGCAGUGGGCGAGAGCCUGACGGAGCAACGCCGCGUGAGUGAUGAAGGUCUUCGGAUCGUAAAACUCUGUUAUUGGGGAAGAACAAAUGUGUAAGUAACUAUGCACGUCUUGACGGUAACUAAUCAGAAAGCCACGGCUAACUACGUG
Molecule: ribosomal RNA, 497 nt
Filed under: uncultured bacterium
Lineage: Bacteria
Description: partial 16S ribosomal RNA
Rfam family: Bacterial small subunit ribosomal RNA
Source: RNAcentral